GCGAGCCUUAGGCUGAGCCUUUCCAGGGGUCCAUGAGGCUGCAAGGAAGUUUUGCAGGGAUGGAGAUCCAGACGUGACUCCGGAGUUCAGUGAGGGGGUGGGAAUGCUUGGAUGCAUACAAAACUUCAUCCGUUACGGAGUUGUGAAAGAGGAAUCCCACCGGGAUCCCAUGUCCCUCUGUCACCUCUCUGCAUGCACGUGAUAAACGGGAGAAAGCAAAGCUCCGGACCCACCGCGCUGCCCCUAGGGAAAAGAAUAAACCAGGAUCGCCAGGGAAGAGCGAGCCGUUUAAUCUCCGUUUCCUCUGGAAAAAAAAUCCUCUGCAGGAGGGUGGAAGAGAAGUCGGCUUUGCAAAACAGAUUUCUGCCUCGAAGUCAGUCUUGAUUCCUAGACAGAACAGACGUUACAAACAUGAUCAAAACAUCAUCUUGAAGCAUAGAGGGUUUAUUCAUACAGAUAUGUAACCUGGAAAUCUUUCCUGGUUCCUCUGGAGACUGAAGUAUCUUGUGUGGGAAGAGGGCUGAAUGACCUUAGGAGAUUUGGCCAGACAUCUUCUGAUUAAUAAGACCUGAGGAGAUCAGUCCAUUUUGUUGCUGGAUUAGAGACCAGAGAGAAAAUGGAGGGACAACGCCCAGCAAAUGCAGGAGUCAGAAAAGGCCCUCCAGUUACUCAGCCUUGGAGCUGUGGGAAGAAUGGGGCAAGUUCUGGGCAAAAGAGCCAAAAAGAAGAAGCCAAAAGUUCAGAGGUCCAAUGCUGUGACUUCAAAAAAGUGCAUUUACAGGAGAGGAAGAGUCCCCGAGAUGUUUGCAGUCAGCUUCACCGCCUUUGCCGUCAAUGGCUGCAACCAGAAAAACACACCAAGGCUGAGAUGCUGGACCUGGUGCUCCUGGAGCAUUUCCUGGCUGUCUUUCCCCCAGAGAUGAAGAAAUGGGUGCGGGAGUGUGGAGUGGAGACCAGUUCCCAGGCGGUGGCCUGUCCGAAGGCUUCCUCCUGUCACAGGAGGAGGAAAAGCUGGAAAUUUUGCAGAAAUCUUUGGAAGCUGUGACUGAGUAUCCCAAGGAAAGGGAAGAUUCAUCCAAACCCUCUCAAGAGCUGAAGUUCAGGAAGAGCUUCCAGAAAGAUCAAAGUCAAGACACCAUGCCAGAGAAUAAAAAACAGUCUGGCUUUUUUAGAAUCGCCGCCUCUUUCUGGUGGAGCUAAGAGAGUGCUUGAACCUCUGCCUCAGGUAGGACGAGAAACAUUGAUAAAUAUCCAUGAAUCUUGGAUGGGUUUCAUUUUGUUCUGGAGUUCAGUGUAUAUUAUUGCUAUUUCUAAGCAAUUCACAUUUUAGAUCAGGUCAAUGAAAAUACACACACAGCUGAUCCUAUCUGUCCCUUCUGAUAAGCUUUCUCCACCUUCCUGCUUUCAGGCUCAGAUUUCCUUGACUAGAUGUUGUCUCAGCUAGAGAUCUUCCUUCUGUUUCCCUGUUUCCCUCACAAACCAUUAUUUUAAAAAGUAUUCUCUUUUGUCUUUUGAAAAGCAUAUUUUGGACAACCAUGACCUGGUGAUUGAGAAUCUCCAUAGACUAUUACAAGCUCUUCUAACACCUUCAUCAAGGUGUGGAAUUUGUUCCUCAGUGGAUAAAGUAAGCCAUUGGCAAAAAUGUCAGGUGGGUUUUGCCAGUAUUGCCCACCCUAGGAAGAAUUGGACCUACUGAUAAAUAAUGGAUUUAAGACCCACCUACCAAUUAACCAAGAAAACUAUCUUAGUUGGCUACAAUGAGGUAUUGAUCCAACUUGAUCCAAUGCUGUCAGUCAUAAAUGGUGAGAUCUCAUUCAGAAUUCUGCAGAAGAUGCCCAUUUUGUUCACUGGUUCUUCUUCCUUGAAUUGGUGGUAGAAAACUAUCAAAUUAUUCUUGGGAUUAUCUGUUAAUAGGAAAACAUGUUUCCUUGUUCAGGAUGUUGUGUCUUUUGAUGACGUGGCUGUGUAUUUCUCCAAAGAGGAGUGGUCUCAGCUGGAAGCUGACCAAAAAGUGCUCCACAGAGAAGUCAUGCUGGAAAAUUCCAGGAAUCUGGCUUCUCUGGGUAAGAACCCCUUUCUGUGCUCAGGAACGUAGAAAAGUCACGGGAUGGGGGGCUUAGAUGUUAUUUCUGAUUAAAAGAACAUCACUGUUGUGUCUUUUGAGGAAGUGGCUGUGUAUUUCUCCAAGGAGGAGUCGUCUCAACUGGAUGCUGACCAAAAAACACUCCAUGGAGAAGUCAUGCUGGAAAAUUCCUGGAAUCUCUUUUCUUUGGGCUUAAAUGGUCAAGAGAAUAAGAAUUACAAGGAACAAUGCCAAGUGAUCCAUCCAAAAGAGGGAAAGGGGAAAUUUGCAGAUCAGAUGCAACCAAAGAGUGUUGAGACAAGCCAAUCAAAAAGUGGAAUUUAAAAAAGCUUUCCUUGUGUCAGCUGGCUUCCUAACCAUACAAACAUCGAUAUGGGAGAUACAUAUAACCACAUGCAGUAUGGAAAGAGCCUUACUUAUACCAAUCAUCUUAAUUGCCAACAGAAGAUCCACAAAGGAGGGAAGGUAUAUCAAUGUAUAGAGUGUGGAAAGAUCUUCUGUUAUUAUAGUUCUCUUGUAAGACAUCAAAGGAAUCACAAAGGAGAAAGACCGUAUAAAUGCAUGGAGUGUGGAAAGAGCUUUACUUGAAGCAGUAACCUUAAUUCUCACAAGAGGAUCCACACAAAAGAGAAACCAUAUCAAUGUUUUGAAUGUGGAAAAGGCUUUAGGUGGAAUUCUACUCUUACCACCCACAAAAGGAUCCACACAGGUGAGAGGCCACAUAAAUGUGGGCACUGUGGAGAAGGCUUUAGAAGGAGUUGUGAUCUCACUUCCCAUAAGGGGAUCCAUAUGGGGGAAAAAACCAUAUGAAUGCAUGGAGCGUGGGAAGAGCUUUGCAAGGAGUAAUGCUUUUACUUGUCAUAGAAGGAUCAACACACAGGAGAAAUCAUAUCAAUAAAGGAAAUGUGAGAAGAGCUUCAAUAGAAUGCAGGUAGUCCUCAGUUUAUGACUGCAAUUGAUCCAAAAAUUUCUGUUGCUAAGCAAGAUAGUUGUUAAAUUGCCCCAUUUUACUUCUUUUCUUGCCACAUUUGUUAACUAAAUCCUGUAGGUAACAUAGUAAAACUGUUAAGUGACUCUGGCUUCUCCAUUGACUUUGCUGGUCAGAAGUUCGCAGAAAGUGAUCACACAACCCUGGGACACUGCAACUAUCAUAAAUAUGAGUCAGUUGUCAAACAUUUGAAGUUUUCUCAGUUGACCAUGGGAAUUCUGCAAUGGUGAUAAGUGUGAAAAAUGGUCAAAAGUCACUUUUUUUCAGUGCUGUGUAACUUUGAAGAAUCACUAAAUGAACUGUUGUAAAUUGUGGACUACCUAUAGUUGUCUAAAAUCUCAUGCAAGGCUCCUGAUCUCCGCUCCUUCCAUUGGGACUUGAAGACUUGGCUUUUCAAACAAAUAGGCUGAGACUGAUUCCGGGCUUUAUUAUUUACUACUAAUUAAUUAUUUGGUUUAAAUUAUGAUUUUAUUGUACUUAUUUCUUAACUUGUGUUCGCCGCCCUGAGUCCUUCGGGAGAAUGGCGGCUUAUAAAUACAUGUAAUAAAUAAUAAAUAAUAAAUUUGAGUAAUAAUCCAAAUAAAUUGGAGU
Pantherophis guttatus is the source of this 3662-nucleotide non-coding RNA. NCBI's taxonomy places the organism in Eukaryota, Metazoa, Chordata, Lepidosauria, Squamata, Colubridae. The record is from RefSeq and is a predicted model, not a curated record.